This 119-nucleotide ribosomal RNA is filed under the name Euglena gracilis. The record is from RNAcentral. Lineage: Eukaryota; Euglenozoa; Euglenophyceae; Euglenales; Euglenaceae.
GCGUACGGCCAUACUACCGGGAAUACACCUGAACCCGUUCGAUUUCAGAAGUUAAGCCUGGUCAGGCCCAGUUAGUACUGAGGUGGGCGACCACUUGGGAACACUGGGUGCUGUACGCU